This 1662-nucleotide small RNA is filed under the name Pongo abelii (Sumatran orangutan). RNAcentral describes it as "retained intron". The record is from RNAcentral. Lineage: Eukaryota; Metazoa; Chordata; Mammalia; Primates; Hominidae.
GAGGUUCCGGUUCUGUGGUGAUCUGGACUGUCCCGACUGGGUCUUGGCAGAAAUCAGCACGCUGGCCAAGAUGGUUGAGUGCACAGGGUCUAGUCUGGGUGGAGGAGGGGUGUUGGGCUGGGGAUUGUGGGUGUAGAGGAUGGUGAGGUUUCUCUGGGGUUAGGCCCUCAGUGCUCUCAGCCUGUGCUACCAUGCUUUGUGACCUUGAUCAGUGGCUGGCCUGCUCUGAGGCUGUCCCCAGGAAGGAGGGGUGAGGUUUGCCAGCCUGGCUGAUGUAAGGACUUCCCUUCCAGUCCUCUGUGAAGUUGCGGCUGCUCUGCAGCCAGGUACUAAAGGAGCUGCUGGGACAGGGAAUUGAUGUGAGUACAAGACCCAGCACCCCAUUGUCCCAUGACCUUAUGACCCCCACUGCCCUGAAACUGUGCACUAGACCCGGGGAGACAGGUGAACCAGCCUCUCAACCUCUCUGGGCACCUCCCUUCCUUCUUUCCAGCUUGUCUGUUCCUUAUCGCAGGAUCCAGGCUAGGGGUGAGGGGCUGGUGAGCAGGGGCCUGGCACCCCCUGAAGGUCUCCUUUCCCCUUAGUAUGAGAAGAUCCUGAAGCUCACGGCUGACGCCAAGUUUGAGUCAGGUGAUGUGAAGGCCACAGUGGCAGUGCUGAGUUUCAUCCUCUCCAGUGCGGCCAAGCACAGUGUCGAUGGCGAAUCCUUGUCCAGUGAACUGCAGCAGCUGGGGCUGCCCAAAGGUACGGGUUGUGGGUGGGCAGCUGGGCAGCCUGUGGGCCAAGGGCUGCUAGAGAGGGGGACGGACCCUGAGGUGUACCCUGCCCUGUUUGGGCCAGGAGCCCAAGCUCAGCUCCCACCUGCUACCUCCAGAGCUACUCCAUUCUACCCCCAGAGCACGCGGCCAGCCUGUGCCGCUGUUAUGAGGAGAAGCAAAGCCCCUUGCAGAAGCACUUGCGGAUCUGCAGCCUACGCAGUAAGUAUGAGGCCAGCCAGGGUCCGGGCUCAUUCUAGAAGGUGCACGCAGCACGCAAAGUGCAUGGAGAGUCCAGGGAGACGACUUAACCAUGGUCACAUGGUUACUAGCAGCCGUAGAGCUGGGACCUGGCCCUGGGUCUCCUGACUCCCCCCAAGGUUUCUUGUCACUGAGGUCUGCUGUGGGUGAUCCAAACUUAUUAUCGGGCACUGCCCUGUUGUGAGCCUGGGUCAGCAAGAUGGGAGCUUCUUAGAGGCCACAUAGCCUUAAAAGGUUGAGAGCUGAGCCAGGGUGUCGGCUGAGGGCCACUUGUCUCGUCUGCUUUGAUCCUGAGAGCCACCCACCCCAUCUCACAGUGAAUAGGUUGGCAGGUGUGGGCUGGCGGGUGGACUACACCCUGAGCUCCAGCCUGCUGCGGUCCGUGGAAGAGCCCAUGGUGCACCUGCGGCUGGAGGUGGCAGCUGCCCCAGGGACCCCAGCCCAGCCUGUUGCCAUGUCCCUCUCAGCAGACAAGUUCCAGGUCCUCCUCGCAGAACUGAAGCAGGCCCAGACCCUGAUGAGCUCCCUGGGCUGAGGAGAAGGGUGUUGCAGGCCUGUGUGGAGCCGCCCUGCCCGUAUGGAGUCACACCCUCUGAACUGCUCUUUGGGAGGCAGCCCUGGUUCUAGGAUGCUGAGGCCCUGGCCU